UAGGGAAUAUUGGUAAUCUGGGAAACCGGGAACCAGCAACGCCGCGUGCGCGAUGAAGGCCUUCGGGUUGUAAAGCGCUUUUUGAGAGGAUGAGGAAGGACAGUACUCUUAGAAUAAGCCUCGGCUAACUACGUGCCAGCAGCCGCGGUAAAACGUAGGAGGCGAGCGUUAUCCGGAUUUACUGGGCGUAAAGCGCGUGCAGGCGGCUCGAUAAGUUGGAUGUGAAAGCGCCCGGCUUAACUGGGAGAGGUCGUUCAAUACUGUCGGACUAGAGGAUGAGAGAGGGAGGUGGAAUUCCGAGUGUAGUGGUGGAAUGCGUAGAUAUUCGGAGGAACACCAGUGGCGAAAGCGGCCUCCUGGCCCAUUUCUGACGCUCAGACACGAAGGCUAAGGUAGCAAACG
This 402-nucleotide ribosomal RNA is filed under the name uncultured prokaryote. Its description in RNAcentral is "bacterial SSU rRNA". It matches the Rfam family "Bacterial small subunit ribosomal RNA", at positions 355 to 774 of the family's 1533-position model. The record is from RNAcentral.